CUUGACCGAGCCGAGCAGCAGCGGCCGGUCCUCGGGGCGGUCCUGGCCGUAGGUGGCGAGGAGCCCCUGGGCCUC
Molecule: antisense RNA, 75 nt
Filed under: Streptomyces albidoflavus
Lineage: Bacteria; Bacillati; Actinomycetota; Actinomycetes; Kitasatosporales; Streptomycetaceae
Description: ASpks TB sRNA
Rfam family: ASpks TB sRNA
Source: RNAcentral